CACCACCCGUUACACUAUGGGAGUUGGCCAUGCCUAAAGUCGUUACCUUAACAGCAAGGAGGGGGAUUUCGAAGGUAUGGAUAAUGAUUGGAGUGAAGUUGUAACAAGGUAGUCGUACUAGAAGGUGCAACUG
Non-coding RNA from Glycine soja, 133 nucleotides. The record is from Rfam. NCBI's taxonomy places the organism in Eukaryota, Viridiplantae, Streptophyta, Magnoliopsida, Fabales, Fabaceae.